Molecule: long non-coding RNA, 916 nt
Organism: Thamnophis elegans (Western terrestrial garter snake)
Lineage: Eukaryota; Metazoa; Chordata; Lepidosauria; Squamata; Natricidae
Exons: 2
Source: RefSeq, a predicted model, not a curated record
ACCUCCAUCUGCCUGAAUGCGGGGAGGGGGGGCAGAGAUCAAAGGGAGCCCCCCGCCACGCCAGCCUCACUCGGCACUGCGCAGGCGCUCUCUGGCUGACUGAAAAUGGAGGGCUCCGAUUGGUCGCUCUGGAGUCGGCGGCGAUUGGCUGGAGGACUCUUUGGGGCGGUCCUUCUAAAGGAAGGGUGCCCCCACCACAUUUGUUAGGGGGGAGACAUUCCGACGAGGGAAGGGAAAUACAGAUCCAGAAGCUGCACCACCACCACCACAACCUCCCCCUGCCUGGAUGCGGGCAGCGGGGAAGCAGACCGGACCACAAACUUCAUAGGUUCCCUUCGGCCCAUCUCCCCAUGGCAACCAUAACAAACCUCGGCAACGCGCAGGCGCCCUCUGGCUCUUUGAAGGAAGGCGGACUCCAAUUGGCCGUUCUGGGGACGGCGGUGAUUGGCAGGAGGACGGCUUGGGGCGGUCCUUUCAGAGGAACAGGAGGAGCUUCGGCUUUCCUACCUGGAAGAGCGUAAAGACAGGGAAGCUUCCACUUCCGGAAACUAAACGGAGAACGGGGAAGGUGCCUGGAUCGGCGACAGAAGAGCCCGGAUAAAGCAGAAGGACCGAGGUGCCCGGCGGGGGAAGGAAGGAACCGCCGCCCGAGAGGAGGAAGAGAGCGUGCCCCGCGGAGCAGCCCUGACCUAUCCUGGCACGCUUUCCCCGGGAGACGACGAGGAAAGACCGGGAGGCUCCGGGGCUGCAGGAGGGAUGAGCCCAGGGGGACCCCGGGAAAGCGGGCUGCCUGGAGGCGGAUGCGGAGAGAAGGAAACGGGCGGAGACUCCAAGACAGUUCUGGAAGAUGGAAGAUCCUUCCGAAGACGCCGGAAGACCCAAAGGAUCCAGGAGGGAGGAAAGAAAUAUCAGUGCC